Molecule: long non-coding RNA, 3490 nt
Filed under: Sorghum bicolor (sorghum)
Lineage: Eukaryota; Viridiplantae; Streptophyta; Magnoliopsida; Poales; Poaceae
Description: long non-coding RNA (SBIC_LNC016124)
Source: RNAcentral
UGGCCCCGCUGGUCAGCUCCCAGCGCGCGCAUGACCUCCACGGCGACGCCCCAGACGUAGUGGACGCGUCCACUUUCUGCUCCCUCUCGCUCUCUCGCCAGAAAAGCGGCCGCAGCGAGCUCACCGUCGCGAGCUCACUCCGGCGAACUCAAACGUGCUCCUCGCUGCGUCGCUGCUCACCAAAACUCGCCCACAGCUUCGCCGUGACCUGCUCUCCAUCCUCCACCCGAAAACUCGUCGUGAAACCCUCCGGUGAGCCGACAUUUCUGACUUCCCCCAAAUCGGGUCGCCGUGACCUUCUUCUCCGGUGAACUCAAUGCCGAGCUCCUCGGAGCCUCUCGUCUUCUCUGUUAGGUCCUAGAGGUAGCUUAGGUCCUUAGCGAACGUUUGCGCCACUUGUUGGACGCUCUACCGCACUCACCGUCGCCGGACACGACGCGCAGCGCCGCCGUGUUUCUGCUGGAGUUUGGCUCUCUCGUGGCCAGCUCAUUCCACACCGUUUCAAGCCUAGUCACCCACCUAGGAAGCUUCGCCGUAGUUCACUGGUGCUGUAGGAAACCCUAGGUUGCGCUCUACCGGCCUGAGAGCUCCGGCGUAAUGCCGAGCACCUCCGCUGAGCCGCCAUGGUCGACGGCAAGCCAUUUCCGGUGGCUCCGCCGUAAGAAAAAGGGGGGCCGUCUUAGGGUCUGAUUAAUCGGACCGUAACCCAGUGCCGAUAGUUUCCCGCCACCAGUUUCCCGCCUAACAACGCUAGACAGAAGAAAAGCUGACGCCAAUACUUGGGCUGCGUGCUCCCGUCCAUCUAUCCACUCGCGAAUGGCCCCACCUCAACUGGCGUGAGCUCAUGCAUGCCAUUUUGCAUGCAGUUUCUAUGAACUAAAAAAACCAUAACUCAUAAAUCAAACAUCUAAACUAAAAUUUGAUUAUACCAUUGGAUUUCUUACAAUAAAUUCUUUAAACAAGAUCCGACAUGCAUAUAUUUGAAUAAAAUUUAUUAACGAACAUUUAUAUUAUGAAGAUAGAACAUUUUUGUCGAUUGAGGAGCGACAAUGUUCAAGAUUUAGAGAAUAAUGUUCCAUCAUUAAAGGAAAAAUAUUCUCGGUUUUAAAGAACAAUAUUAUAAUUUUAGAUUCAUGAAGGUAGUUUCAUAAGAUGUAGUAAAAUAAAUAAAUACGUAACAUAAGCAAAAAAAUAAUAAAAUCUAGAGCAAAUUAUAUAGAAAAAAUCAAAACGUAUAACGGAAACAACAUAAGGAUACUUUUUAAACAUCCUAAAAUAUAUUAUAGAACAUCACAUGUGUACAAAGUGAACAUCAAUAAAUAUCACAUAGAACAUCAUUAAAUACAUUGUAGAACAUCACAUAUAUAUUACGUGAACAUCACUAAAAUAUAUCCUAAAAAUAUAUUGUUGAACAUCACAUGUGUACUAAGUAAACAUCACUAAAUACCACAUAGAACAUCAAUAAAUACAUUAUAUAAACAUCACUAAAUAUAUUAUAAAACAUCACAUGUAUAUUAAGGGAACAUCACUAAAUACAUCGUAGAACAUCACUAGAUAUAUUAUAAAACAUAAAAUGAAUAUUGCAAGAACAUCAAAAAAAAACAUCAUACAUCACAUAUAUACCACGAGACCAUAAAAAAUCAUAAAAGAUCACAUGUAUAACACGUGAACAUAAAAAACUUAUAUACUAGAUAAACAUAAAAAAACACAACAUAGAAUAUCAUAGGAAAUAAUAAAAAAAGAAAAGGUAAAAAUAUAUAAAAUGAAAAUAAAGAUAAACACAUAAAAGAGAAAAAAAUGAAACAAAUGAUGAGCGAAAAGAAUAAAAGAAAAAUAAAAUAAAAAAUUAAAGAAGGUUAAAAAUUAAAAAACAUGAAUCAAAAGAAAAUAUAAUUAGAAAAAACAAAGAAAUAAAUAAAAAAUAAAAGGAAAUAUAAACGAAAAAUAUUAAAACAACAUCAGCGUGCGAACAUAAAAAUGAUAAAAAGGGAAAAAAGAAAAAGGAAAUAAGAAAAAAAUGAAAAUAAAAAAGAUAUCUAAGAACUUAAAAAACUAACGUAACAUCUUGGAGUUAAAGAAAAAAAUAAAAAAAAGACGGCAUCUAAAAAGUAAGAAAAAGAAAGAAAAGGGAAAACAAUAAAAAAGGAAACUAAUAAACAUCAAAUUGAAAAAUGAAGAUAAUAAUAAAGAGUCACAUAAAACAAAUAAAGAAAGGAGAACAGAAGCAAGAAAAAGGGAAAAAAAGAAAUAAAAAAGGAAAGGAAAAUAAAAGAACAAAUAAAAGGAAAACAUACGUGUAUAUAUAAAAAAGAAAGAAAAUAUACAGACAUAGGCGUAUCCAGAUGCUUCCUGGUUGGAAAAUACAGGCUUGCGCUCUCCAUUGCUCGUGCACGUGGACUCCACAUGGGCCUGACGAAUACCGUGAAAACAAACGAGUGUGGUGCCUAGAAUUGUUCAGCGCGGGAAUCAUCGGACCGUGUCUCCCGUCCGAACGUUCGCACGGGAAGAUUCCCGGGAAAAGGGGGUCAAUCGGUUCGUAAGGGUCUGAGGAUCACGUUCAUGCCCAUGGUUUGGUCGGAGGCCUCGCCGUCGCGGAGAAAUCGCCGGUGAGAGUCGCCUCGGUCGUGAGGAAGACGACCCUGACAUGCGGGACCCGCUGUCAGUGACACAUCGUUUCCCUCCUUUUCUUUUAUUCAAAUCCAGGUUUUUGGCUUUCUUGCAAAAAUCAUAUCUUCCGUUUCUGAGAUCCAAAAAUUGUGAAACAAAUUUUGUGACGUUCCUUGAGAUGGCUAGUUUUUAAUAAAAAUAUAAAAUGUACCAUGUUUUCUGGGAAAAAUAAUUGUUAUGAUUUAAUCUUGUUAUUCAUGUGUAAAUUCAUGUCUCUUGAUAUGCUGCUCCUUUUGUUAUGAAAUUUUUAUGCUCAGCUCUGAGUGGUUUUAGAAUGCUAUGAUAAAUAUUUCAUGAUUUUUGGAGUAAUAUAUCAGUGAUAUGAAAUUUAUGUUGGUCCUAUGACUUGUUUUCUUAAUUAAAUCCUCAUAAAUGAUUUAUGCUUAUGCUGGUAUUCUAUUUUGGUGUCAAGCUUGUUCAUGGUAAUAGUAACAUGUAAAUAAUCUGAAAUCUGUUGUUUGACACUAUCUAAGCUAUGUUUCUUAAUUUAUGAAAUAAGCAUCUUGAUGCAUGUUAAAUGUUUAUCUUAAUUUUGGCAUGCGCAAUUGCUCUGAAAAUUUUAUGGUGAUAUCAAGAUGCUAUGCUUGUGCUGCUGUAAUUUUUGUAUAUUUUUCCGAGCACUUUUGCUGGUAUCUUGUAAAUAUGUCUUUUUAUGGAAUUAAUUUAAUAAAUGUCACUUUAUUAUGUGUUAGUGGUCAACAUGUGAUGUUUCUCGUAAUCUUAUGGUGUGUUUGUGUUUAUAAGCCAUGUGGUUGACACUAUUUAUGCUUUGACCAUGUUAUCAAAUAAUUAAUUAAAGGGGUUAAAAGUUGAUCUAGACAGC